RNAcentral lists this ribosomal RNA (426 nucleotides) under uncultured bacterium. RNAcentral describes it as "partial 16S ribosomal RNA". It matches the Rfam family "Bacterial small subunit ribosomal RNA", at positions 354 to 796 of the family's 1533-position model. The record is from RNAcentral.
GUGAGGAAUUUUCCGCAAUGGGCGAAAGUCUGACGGAGCAAUGCCGCGUGAAGGAUGAAGGCCUAUGGGUUGUAAACUUCUUUUCUCAGAAAAGAAUUAUGACGGUAUCUGAGGAAUAAGCAUCGGCUAACUCUGUGCCAGCAGCCGCGGUAAGACAGAGGAUGCAAGCGUUAUCCGGAAUGAUUGGGCGUAAAGCGUCUGUAGGUUGUUUAAAAAGUAUUCUGUCAAAGAUUAGGGCUUAACCCUAGAUAGGCAGAAUAAACUUUUAAGCUAGAGUUUGGUAGAGGCAGAGGGAAUUCCCGGUGGAGCGGUGAAAUGCGUAGAUAUCGGGAGGAACACCAAAGGCGAAGGCACUCUGCUGGGCCAAUACUAACACUGAGAGACGAAAGCGAGGGGAGCAAAUGGGAUUAGAAACCCCGGUAGUCC